AGGUAAAGACAGUUAGGCUGAAUCGAAGAACUAUCAGAUGUUUAAUACAGGAGUAAAAUCUAAAUAUUAAAAAUUAUCUCAGAUAUAGUUUAUUUAAAACGCUGAAUCUGUGACAGCUUUAUGGGAAACUGGGAUUGGAUACCCCAUUAUUUUUAGUUGUAAAUUUAGUUUAGGCUUACCAGAGUACUACGAAUCAAAAAAUUUAAAACUCAAAGGGCUUGGCGGUGUUUUAGACCCCUCAGGGGAACCUGUCUCGUAAUCGACAAUCCACGUCAGACCUAACCUUCUAUAGUAAUACAGCCUGUAUACCGUCGUCGUCAGGUAACUUCUUAAAAUAUAUUAGUUAGCUCGACAACCUUAUUAAUUAAAACGUCAGAUCAAGGUGCAGCCAAUGAGAAGGUGAGGAUGGGUUACAAUUACAAAUUUGUAACUACGGAAGGACACUUGAAACUUAAUAUCCUGAAGGAGGACUUGAAAGUAAUUCUAAGUAUAUAAUUAGAAUGAAUAGGGCUCUGAAACGUG
Molecule: ribosomal RNA, 522 nt
Filed under: Conus lischkeanus
Lineage: Eukaryota; Metazoa; Mollusca; Gastropoda; Neogastropoda; Conidae
Description: partial 12S ribosomal RNA
Source: RNAcentral